Molecule: transfer-messenger RNA, 383 nt
Filed under: Clostridia
Lineage: Bacteria; Bacillati; Bacillota
Also listed under: 2 other names
Description: DUPL01 sp012838385 Standard tmRNA
Rfam family: transfer-messenger RNA
About the family: Bacterial tmRNA, also known as 10Sa RNA or SsrA, is named for its dual tRNA and mRNA-like properties. Its role is to liberate the mRNA from a stalled ribosome.
Source: RNAcentral
GGGGAUGUACUGGUUUCGACGGGGUCAUUGAGGCAUAAACUGCGAGUAGAGGAUUCUCGUUGGCCUCUUUAAAAAACGAGAGAAAAAAAUAAACGCUAACGAUAAUUUAGCACUCCAAGCUGCUUAAGUAGCGGCUUCGUCGACCUGAGGGUAACCCGUGCCUUCAGUAAUCGGCGUCAGUAAGACGGGCCUUCCAGUAGGGUGGUCAAUACUGGGAACAGGUAUGCCAAAGCUUUGAGGCAUAUCGGUACCUAUGAAGCUACCGAAAGCAAGACUCUGUCCAUUGAGGAUUGCCGUAGGGAAUGAAAAAGAAUGGACUACACUCGUAGACGUUUAUGAGGAUAUGGUUUCGGACGCGGGUUCAACUCCCGCCAUCUCCACCA